RNAcentral lists this ribosomal RNA (778 nucleotides) under Nocardioides sp. AKB-2008-LO12. Its description in RNAcentral is "bacterial SSU rRNA". It matches the Rfam family "Bacterial small subunit ribosomal RNA", at positions 11 to 806 of the family's 1533-position model. Lineage: Bacteria; Bacillati; Actinomycetota; Actinomycetes; Propionibacteriales; Nocardioidaceae. The record is from RNAcentral.
GUUUGAUCCUGGCUCAGGACGAACGCUGGCGGCGUGCUUAACACAUGCAAGUCGAGCGGUAAGGCCCUUCGGGGUACACGAGCGGCGAACGGGUGAGUAACACGUGAGUAAUCUGCCCUUCACUUCGGGAUAAGCCUCGGAAACGGGGUCUAAUACCGGAUAUGACCACUUCACGCAUGUGAUGGUGGUGGAAAGUUUUUCGGUGGGGGAUGUGCUCGCGGCCUAUCAGCUUGUUGGUGGGGUAAUGGCCUACCAAGGCUUCGACGGGUAGCCGGCCUGAGAGGGUGACCGGCCACACUGGGACUGAGACACGGCCCAGACUCCUACGGGAGGCAGCAGUGGGGAAUAUUGGACAAUGGGCGGAAGCCUGAUCCAGCAACGCCGCGUGAGGGAUGACGGCCUUCGGGUUGUAAACCUCUUUCAGUAGGGACGAAGCGCAAGUGACGGUACCUACAGAAGAAGCACCGGCCAACUACGUGCCAGCAGCCGCGGUAAUACGUAGGGUGCGAGCGUUGUCCGGAAUUAUUGGGCGUAAAGGGCUCGUAGGCGGUUUGUCGCGUCGGGAGUGAAAACACUGGGCUUAACUCAGUGCUUGCUUCCGAUACGGGCAGACUAGAGGUAUUCAGGGGAGAACGGAAUUCCUGGUGUAGCGGUGAAAUGCGCAGAUAUCAGGAGGAACACCGGUGGCGAAGGCGGUUCUCUGGGAAUUACCUGACGCUGAGGAGCGAAAGUGUGGGGAGCGAACAGGAUUAGAUACCCUGGUAGUCCACACCGUAAA